Rattus norvegicus (Norway rat) is the source of this 385-nucleotide non-coding RNA. Lineage: Eukaryota; Metazoa; Chordata; Mammalia; Rodentia; Muridae. The record is from RefSeq and is a predicted model, not a curated record.
ACAUUCCCCAUUCUUCUUGUAACGGUGACGCACUUGGAUUCUCUCCCCUGAAUGGCGGGUCUUGGGGCUCUUUAGUUUCCCGAUUAGUCAGGAACAAGCAGGACAGAGCAGAUUUCCGCUGCCUGUGCUAUGAGCCCUGUGGAAAGGGGUCAGCCAGCAAGUUUGAGGGGAGUGUCAUUCAGGAGUAGACCGGCAAGCUUGGACUUCACUGUGUAACCUUCUGGAAGAGCACAUUACCUCCCCUGGCCUCUGAUGUCUUUUAAAACCAGAUCAGUCACAUCCUGUCCCUUCAGUAGAGUAGAGAGGAUAAAGGGAUGUGCCUACUGUAGGAAGCCACCGACUCAGUAGACAAUGUCUUCAUCAUUAAACUUCAUCAACCAAUUAA